RNAcentral lists this ribosomal RNA (433 nucleotides) under uncultured bacterium. Its description in RNAcentral is "partial 16S ribosomal RNA". It matches the Rfam family "Bacterial small subunit ribosomal RNA", at positions 29 to 507 of the family's 1533-position model. The record is from RNAcentral.
AACGAACGCUGGCGGCAUGCCUAACACAUGCCAGUCGAACGACACCUCCGGUUCUAGUUGCUCAUGGGUGCGUAACGCGUGGGAACCUGCCCUUAGGUUCGGGAUAACUCCCCGAAAGGGGUGCUAAUACCGGAUAAUUUCUUCGGACCACAGAUUUAUCGCCUUAGGGUGGGCCCGCGUUGGAUUAGCCUGUUGGUAGGGUAAAAGCCUACCAAGGCGACGAUCGCUAGCUGGUCUGAGAGGAUGAUCAGCCACACUGGGACUGGGACACGGCCCGGACUCCUACGGGAGGGAGCAGAGGCGAAUAUAGGAAAAUGGGCGGAGGCAUGAACCAGCAAGGCUGGGUGAGUGAUGAAGGCCUUAGAGAUGUAAAGCUCUUUUACACGGGAUGAUAAUGACAGUACCGGGAGAAUAAGCACCGGCUAACUCCGUG